CUUUGUUAAAUAAUAACUAAUUAAUCACAGUUUUUAUUAAUCACAUAUUUAAUAUUAAAACUUGGAUUUAUAAAGUAUAGCUAUGUCAUUAAGUUGUUUAUGGCUUAUUAAAAUUUUUUAAAUAUUUUUAAAUAAUUAAUCGCACAGUUGUCUGUGACUUAUCCAGCCAUCAUAGUUGUGAUCAUAAGGUAUGUUUACCCAUUUAAUGCAUUACAUACAUAAGAUGUUUUAUAUCAUGUUUGUGUAAUGGUAUAUUUUUAUAUGUGCAAACAUAAUAAGCAUAAACUUAUCAAGCUACCCACAAAAAGUGGAAAAAAGAUGGCUGCCAAAUUUUAAAAGCACCUUACUGUUAAUAGCAGAAAUAAAUCUAUUACCUUUCCCAGCCAUAAUAUAUAUAUAUAUUUUUUAACUAACAAUGAAUUAAUGAUUAAUAUUUUAUACAUUUAUUAAUGUUGUAAAUGUUCAUGCUUAAAACAAUAUUGUUUUCUUAGUGUUACUAUUGUAUUAUUUCAUCUUAAUGCAACUUUUAAUUGUAUCAUUGUAUGAUAUUGUAAAUAGAAAUUAGCAUUGAUUUACAGUAUAGAAAAUAUUUUUCUACUACGUAACUGGCCUAUAUUUUUAUAAGAACCAUAUCAUACGUUACCUGUAAAUAAACUCCAGGUGGUUUUGAAGGCUUCUGCGUGAUCUGUAGAAUAUUGUGCCUUUGCGGACAGACGCUGCACGGUCUCGAUGUCUCCUGCAGAUCCUUAUGUGAUAUAAGAAAAUUAUUGAUUUAUUUGGAAGGUGCCUUUGGCUUCAAAACUGCAUAUUCAACUACUUACGCACAUAUUCAGUUAAAAACAGACCAUCAGUAGCAGUAAUAAUUAUUUUAUACUAAUUAUAAUUAGGCUAUUAAUAUUAAAUAUUAAUACACUUUAUAUUAUUAAUUUAUUUUUGCUGAAUGUGUUAAAUAUAUAGUUAACCAUUGUUAGUAAUUCAUUGGUUAUAUUAAAUCAUAGUUAAUAAAUUAUAGUAAAGAGAUUUAAUGUUACAUUACUAUUGAUAUCCAUCGUGGCGAGAGACCUUUAUUAGAUGCAUCAUGUUAUUGCAUCGGCAUUGCAUGUGACGUCGUAAGAGUCCUUUUGCUUGCAUCCACAGUAGGCUACAAUUUUGCGUUUGUUUUUCAAUGUACAUUUUGUCCUCAGCAAUCUGGUGAGCUCCUGUCUCAUUUGUGUCAUGUUUAACCCCCUUUUGAUUUUUGGCGCAAAAAAAAAUACAGCAAACUUCCGGCAACGAUCGCGGGGUUUUGGACCAAUAGCGUAUCAGAUCAGUGUAGUGGCAGGCGGGGUACUGAAGUGAUUUGCGUGUAGAGCGAUCUGAUCAGUCAUCCCAUUAACCUGUGGAAAAUUUGUUACUGUAGAAGGUAAGUAAUUUGAACUUCUUAAUAACAACUUCAAACUAAAUACCAUGUGGCUGUUUUAGGGCUAUGCGUAACUUGUUUUGUAACAAACUAUUGAAAUGAUGGCUGUUAAUUAUUACGUUUUAAUUAACGUAUUUAACGUAAUUAACGUAACGUAUUAUUAAUUAAAACGUUAACAAUUCCUUAUUAUGUAAACUGACCAGUUUAACAUUUUACAGGAAUGAUGAGUAAAAGAACGACAAAGGGAGCAGCUAAGACAGCGUCUCAAAAUGCUGCUGAAAGUGCUGGUAAGCUUCAAGUUUUAUAAACAUACAAUGUGUAACUGUUACAGACAUUUCGUGUGCAUUAAUGGAAACCUUAUUCAUGUUUUUUUGUCAAAUACCCACAGUUCGUGUGUAAAGAACAUCGUGAACGUCAUGAACGCAGAAUUACACUUACAAAAACAGACAAUUAAUAAAAAAAAUAAUAAAAUAAAAUAAAACGAAGUUUGCAGGAUACACUGAUCACGUGAUAUAGUAUAAACGCAACGUAAUGCCGACAUGUAACUUCAUAGUAACAAAUGCAAUGGUUUUUUAGUGCAGAUAUCUGCACUGAUUUAAAAUGUGCAAUAUAAUGGUUAAUUAUUAACUAUUUCCCCACCAUUGACUCCUUAUUUUGUAAAUUAAAGAGUAACUAAACCCUAAACCAACUUUUUUUAGUUAAUGAUCUGUAAGAAGGGGGCUUUAUUGGUGCUGUUCAUUGAUUUGAGUAACUUUCUUGACAUUUGGGUAUAAAGUGUUGCCCUCUUCAGGUUAAAGUGGAAGUCCACCCUAAAACAACAUCAUGCUCCAACACUAUAUUUCAUGACAUAUAUGUAGUUGAUUGUGUUGCCAUCAAAUGUACUAACUCCAUAUAAAAAAGCUUUUAAAGCUUUUAACCGCUACAGUAACGGUGUGUGACGGGUCGUCAAAUCACCGGAAGAAAAAUGCACGACUACAUAAUUCUGAACGUUCUAAAUGGGGGCGGGUCUUGAGGCGAGUUGAUUGACAGUAGAUGAUAACGUUCUUUGAUUGACAGCUGCACAGGAUGAGCUAACGUUAGCUUGCUUUGCUUGUGUUCAUAAUAACAACAACAUAAUAAUUACUUUCUACGUAGUAUGUUUACCACAGUUACACAAAACAAGCAACAACUAAGCCAAAUGAUGUUUUAGAUAUUUUUACCAUUUUACACCAAAAAACUGGUCUGAAAACAGUACUCGAAAUCUUCCUGAUGAAAGAGUUGGCUGCAUAUUAAAAUUUUUGAGUAAUCUGUUAGUGGUGUGUCAACUGAGGGUCGCGUUGAUGUAAACAAUAAAAUCUCCCGGUGGCCUUAAUUUGUUGUCCUUACAUCCAGAUACUGCACAUGUUCUAGUCAUCUUUUAUCAAGGGUUUGGGUGAUUUCCCCUUCAGACACGGUUAAAGCGGAGUUACUCUUUGGAUGGUUCGUCUGCCGGCUAACUUCAAGUUGACUUGAGUUGAUUUGAGAGCAGGUUGAGCGGUAAAAGAAAUUAUUAGGCUUGUUCAAAUUCAUGUGGCAUCGCAAUCAACAGCCGUAUGAUGUCAAAGUACCGCGAGAGCGAUUCACAAAAUCAUACAGAGGAGUUUGCUUUUAAAUCGCUCUCGCGGAACCUUGACGUCAUCCGGCUGUCAGUUCUUGCAGCGCCGCAUGUAGUCAAACAAACCUGAAGACUGCAUCGAUCAGUGGUUAGUGGGUGGAGCUAAUGACUCAGUUUCGCACAGUGCAUUCUGGUUUAUUGAGUCCAUCAAAGACCGUUAUGAAAAUUCCGCUUUAACACACUAUAAAUCUAAUAAUCGAAAUCGUGCAAAUAUCCUUUUUUUUCUCAUGUAAAAUUCAAAAUGGACAUAAAUUACUCGUUAUAACAGGCUAAAAUGUCUAGAUUGGACUUCCACUUUAAACAGUAGCUACAGCAGCUGUUUGCCCUAGGGCGAUAGUUCCUGGUUUUAUAAGUUGCGGAAGUGCACCACCUGGUGGAUAAUAGCGGUAUUGUGGAUUGACGAGAUUACUCGUCAAUGGCGGGGAAAGAGUUAAAGGUAUAGUGGAGGAUUUUCCCGAAUUUUGGAAAAGAACCACCCUCUCCACUUUAAAAAAAAUGCAAUUGCACAACACUCUACCUGCUCCUGAGAGGGGACGCCUAUUAAACAUGUGCACAGAGAGCAUGCACAGGCCUAUUUCGUCUUGUGCACGCUCUUUUUACAACUUUCUGUCGGCAUGGCUCAUACAAGAAUAAAUAAAUAAAUAAAUAAAUACUAUGGUGAACACAUUGGAAUUAUCAGAAAUGAACACACAAGGUUUUAGAACAAUUCGGCGUGAUACCUACGAGCACGUAUGACAGCCUUACGUAAACAUAUCACCAGAAUGAUUGACAACUAGGAGGACCAAUAGUCUUUAUUAGGGAUGCACCGUUAGGAUUUUUUGGGCCGAUACCGAUUUAAACAGACAACAACUGGCCGAUGCCGAUACCGAUAUUAAACACUUGUAUACAAUACUAUACAGUUGGUCUAUUAGCUAGUUUUUUUCUGCAUCAAAUUAUUUUUACUGAACAUGGAUUUGAUCUAAUUAACAUUCAACUGACCAACAUAAUAAGAGGCACAAUUAAGCUAAAACAAAUAUAAUAAGACAGCAUGACAAUCUUCAAAGGUGUUUUCUGCAAUUCAGCAUUUAUUUUAUUAACAACAUUAACUCAUUUUUUUUACAUAUAAUGGAUUUCUUUAUGCAGUUAAUUAAUAAACAAUCGGUAUCGGCCUGUCUCGUGCUAUUGCCGAUGGUUUCAAAUUCAUCAAAAAUCGGCCGAUAAAUAUCGGCGGCCGAUACAUCGGUGCAUCACUAGUCUUUAUGAUCCACCCAAAAUCCUUUGCUAUACCUUUAAGAGAAAACUCUUCCCUGCCAAUGACAAGUUUUUACUACAAUCCACACUAUUAUCCACUAGGUGGCACUCUUACACAACUUAUAAAACACUAAAUCGUCAAUGGUUUUCAAAGCUUUUUUGUUAUUUUGCUUUUUUUGUAUAUUUACAUUGCAUUUAUAUCAGAAAUAAUGCAAGUGAAUAAACAAUAAGAACAUACUUUCAAAUGUGUAGUAUGUGUUAUUUUGUCUUUAUACAAUUCCAUUGUUGCUAUAUACGGAGAUACACAUCUAUUUUCUUACGUUCCAUGACAGCAGCUAGAAGCAGAAAAGGAGAAAGGGGCUUUGAAAGAUGACACUAUUAACCUGUUAAAAGAGGACAAGGCCUAUCUUUAGUCUGAAUUGGCUCGUAAGGACGAAUUUAUCCGAGAACUUGUUUCUAACAAGAAGGAGGAAAUCCCUGGUCCAAGUGGACACUCAGAUAUGAGCCAAACUCAACAUAAACGAAAGAAGACCAAGCAACUUGAAAAGUCUGAUGAAUCAGAUGAUGACUCCUCUGUACUGUCAGACUCCUCAGUUGAACUGCUAAAGAAGCCCACAGUGCGGAAACACAUGAGGCAAACAAUGGUACCCAAAAGUGAACAUGCGCGUGUGAGAGUGAAGAACACCAAAGGCAUUGUGGCAAGGUACAAACUGGCACUAGAGGCUUUCAAAAAGGGGAGCUCUAUGAAAGCUGCCUUUGAGAGCAUGGGACUUGACCGAGCUACCUAUGCCCGCACAGCAGUAGUUGCUGAACUAAAAAUUGCUGCUCCUGAGGCCUUUGACACCAUCCCUCCAUGGAAUGAGCGUGUAGAGAAACUCUCCACAUUUAUUGAAAGAUGUCGUGCUGCAAUCAGCAGUGACAUCAAAGAGAAAAUUUCCAAAAUGAAAAUAGAUGGAGAACUUUUGCCAAUAGCCAAUAUUUUCUGAGACAUGUAGUGUUCUUAAUGUUCUUGUUAAUUUCUGGCAUUUCUUCUGGAAUUUAUUUGUUAAGCACUUGUUUGUUAGAAAGUUUGAGUUGUUAAAAGCUAUAUCUUCUCAGCCAGCCAAUAUUGCAUAUUGUGAUUUGAUGUAAUACUUUAGAAAAAUGGCUAUGUUUUUUUUUUCAUUUAUUAUAGGCAUUAUUUUUUACAUUUGCAAAUAAACCAUUGAAAAUGGAUAAUGAAUAACAUCUUCAUGAUUUCCUAACAUUUGGAUUAGAAAACUGUAUCCUGUGUGUUCACUUUACUUAAAGCCAUCAAUAAUGCAUUUAUAGAGGUUAAUAACUGCAUUAUGACUCAUAAUAAGUAACUCAUAACAUGGCUAUUUUAGAUAACAUCUUCAUGAUUUCCUUACAUUUGGAUUAGAAAACUAUCCUAUAUGUUCACUUUACUUAAAGCCAUCAAUAAUGCAUUUAUAGAGGUUAAUAACUGCAUUAUGACUCAUAAUAAGUAACUCAUAACAUGGCUAUUUUAGAUAACAUCUUCAUGAUUUCCUUACAUUUGGAUUAGAAAACUAUCCUAUAUGUUCACUUUACUUAAAGCCAUCAAUAAUGCAUUUAUAGAGGUUAAUAACUGCAUUAUGACUCAUAAUAAGUAACUCAUAACAUGGCUAUUUUAGAUAACAUCUUCAUGAUUUCCUUACAUUUGGAUUAGAAAACUGUAUCCUAUGUGUUCACUUUACUUAAAGCCAUCAAUAAUGCAUUUAUAGAGGUUAAUAACUGCAUUAUGACUCAUAAUAAGUAACUCAUAACAUGGCUAUUUUAGAUAACAUCUUCAUGAUUUCCUUACAUUUGGAUUAGAAAA
This is a non-coding RNA of Misgurnus anguillicaudatus (oriental weatherfish), 6102 nucleotides long. NCBI's taxonomy places the organism in Eukaryota, Metazoa, Chordata, Actinopteri, Cypriniformes, Cobitidae. The record is from RefSeq and is a predicted model, not a curated record.